Non-coding RNA from Taxawa tesnikishii (nom. ined.), 96 nucleotides. Lineage: Eukaryota; Fungi; Ascomycota; Dothideomycetes; Dothideales. The record is from the annotation of a GenBank genome assembly.
GGUGAGGUGGCCGAGUGGUUAUGGCGCUGCGUUUAGGUUCUCCUGAACAAUAAUCCGCAGUGGGCAACCGCGUGGGUUCGAAUCCCACCCUCAUCA